Molecule: ribosomal RNA, 337 nt
Filed under: Nematoda environmental sample
Lineage: Eukaryota; Metazoa; Nematoda
Description: SSU rRNA
Rfam family: Eukaryotic small subunit ribosomal RNA
Source: RNAcentral
GGUGGAGCGAUUUGUCUGGUUUAUUCCGAUAACGAACGAGACUCCGACCUACUAAAUAGAAGGCAGAUUCUCAAGUCUGUCGCUACUUCUUAGAGGAAUUCGCGGCGUUUAGCCGCAUGAGAUGGAGCAAUAACAGGUCUGUGAUGCCCUUAGAUGUCCGGGGCUGCACGCGGGCUACACUGGCUUUGCCAGCGAGUCGUCCGUGGUGGAUACGUCACGGUAACCAUGAAAGAAAGCCGUGAUUGGGAUCGGAAAUUGCAAUUAUUUCCCGUGAACGAGGAAUGCCUAGUAGACGUGAGUCAUUAACUCACAUCGAAUACGUCCCUGCCCUUUGUAC